AAGGAAAACAGUUGUAUUAUUCGCCUAUUUGGGAAAAGAAAAUGAGACACAUGUCAUUUUUCACACUGUAAAUCACUCUCCUCCUGCAGUUCUGCUUCUUCCGUUGUUCAGAAUUCAGAUCUUCCAUUGGUCACCACCGUUUGCAAGCUGCAGCUGCACCACCAGGCUUCUCACUCACACGUCGGCGUCGCACAGCUCCGGCGCCCCGCCAGUCCGCCACUGGACUCGCAUCUAAUUAGGUAGCUUUUGAGGAUUAGCGAUGCGGAAAUAUCGUUCCUUAUCUUUUCAAAUUGGUCAGUUGGCAGAGGCAAGGACUUUUGAAAAGGGUUACCGUGGUGCGUGGUUUCGGUGUAAGAUAAAGAAAAUUACCAGAAAGAAAGGCCGAAUUGUAGCAUAUGUUGUAGAAUAUUAUGACUACCCAGAGGAAUCUGAAGAAACAAUAACACUUUAUGGCCUCCCCUCAGAGAGCAGCAGCGGCCACAAGGCAAAAAAGGAGCUGAUGUUGCGCCCACACUUUCCAGCUUUUUUUCGUGAAAGGGAAUUACCUGAUGUAAACUUGAUCUCAGAAGUUAUAGUUGCAGUUACUGAUGUUUGGAGAGUUGGGGAUUUGGCUGACUGGUUCUCUGAUGGCUGUUUCUGGUCAGGAACAAUUACUGAAAUUAUGGAUGAUGACAUGGUUCAGAUUAAAUUGUUAGAGCCACCCAGAGGUGAAGGAUCAUCCUAUAAUGUCAACUGCAAGGAUCUCCGCCCAUCCUUGGAUUGGUCUCCUGAAUUUGGUUGGACAGUCCCUGUACCCUCGGAAACUCCAAAUGGACAUCUUCAUGCUCGUUUGAUUCAGCCUGUGAAGCAAGCCCCACCUGUAAAAUCGUUGGUUGAUAAGAUGGAUGAAGACAAACAAAAUGUCAAGGUCACACCAAGGUCAUCAUUGGAGUUCAAUCAAUCAGUCUCUUCUCAUACUUCAGUGAGCUCAUUGCCAUUGCUACCCAGAUCAAUGAACUCCGAGGAUCUGUUGCAGCAGAGCAAAGAUAUUUCUGAAAAAGGAAUGCAGCAAACGGUGUUGGAUGUAGGGGUUCCUGUCAUUGGGAAGCGUAGUUGCUCGGAUGGUGUUUCCAGUACAUGUAAUCAAGAUGUUUCAGCUGAAGUUCCAGUAGCUACUUGUGCUGAAGAACAGAAUCAUAAACAUGGAUCUGUGAAAAAAAUGCACUUGAAUGAUACAAUAACUCUAAAUUCCACAGCCUGUGAUAGCAUUGAAUCAGCAAUCUUGGAUCUGGAAGAACUUGUAAACAGGGUCAAAUGGCUGAAACAGAUUCUGAAGUUUGGAAUUUCUUCAACCCCUCAGGGUCCAACAUGGGAAUAUAUAGAACACCCUCCAGAUUCCGCUCCAUGAGCACUUAUACGUCAUCUUGGUAGGGUAACAGAAUCUCUGGUUCUUCUGAUGGUUCGGAUUUCAAAGCAUAUACUUGCCCUGUGCCUUGGAUGCCCCUCCCUUGCUGUUGUGUCCAUAGCUCGGUUCUCCUGGCGCUUGAAGGAGUAAGACGUCCCCUAGGCCCGGCCUACUCUGAGAGUUUCUGGUCUGAUUCAGAACAGGACACUCCUUAAUUUGAUGUCCUGUUUUCAUACAUUUAAAACAGAUAUUGGGCCCCUCGCCGUUCCUCCCAUAAUGUUCCUUCUUACAUCUCCUGCACUUCCAUUCCUUUUUGCUUCCUUCUACCGUCUUAGUUGGAACCGAUGCUAUGGACGUUUUAGCUAAAUCAGCUUUGAAUUUCUUGUUCCCUACUUGAAUCUUUCUCCGCUCUUCUUUUUCUUUUUCUUUUUCUUGGAACCCUCAUCUUUCUGUUCAAUGCACUCAUGUUCUAGCGCCUGGUCAUAAAGAUCUUCAAAACUGCUAUGCACCUUAAAAUUUUCUUCUGGUACUUCAGAUUCAACCCCCCCCCCCCAAGAACCUAAUAGACUUUACCCUUUCAUUACUGGAAAAUCGGGUGCAAACCUCAAGAGUUCUACAAACUUCGUGACAUACUCCACGAUUGUUAAUUGGCCUUGUUCUAAAAACAUAAUUUCAUUCUCUUUCUUCCUCCUCAGAGGAAGAACUUAUUUCUUAACGUAUGCAUAAAUGUUUCCCUAGAAAAGACGGUUUGGUUUGAUACUUUCUUGCUGGUUGUUCCACCACAUAUCCAUUGGUCCUUCCAGAUAGAAUGAUGCUGCCUUCACCUUUAUAUUUUAGGGGAUUUUGCUACCUCCAGUAGUUUCUCCAUAUAUGCUACCCAAUCUUCAAACUUUACAGAGUCCGCCUUCCCAUUGUAGCCCUGCAUAUUAUGAGCCCCCAACCUCUUGUAAAAUUUACCUUUAUCAUCAUCUUUACGAUUAGAUAUACCUUGGGUUGUUGCAAGGAAUGGUACACACAUUUACAAUGGGAAGACGGACUCUGUAAAGUUUGAAGUUGGGUAGUAUAUAUGGAGAAACUAUUGGAGGUAGUAAAAUGCCCUAAGAAUCUAAAGUUGAAGCCAGUGUCUUUCUAUCUGGAAGGACCGGCGGAUAUGUGGUGGAACACCAUCAAGAAAGUAUCAAACCAAACCGUCUUUUCUUCGGAAACAUUUUUGGAUAAGUUAAGAAAUAAGUUAUUCCCUCUGGCUCCGAGGAGGAAGAAAGAGAAUGAAUUAUGCUCUUCAAAAAUAAGGUCAGUUGACCGUCGUGGAGUAUGCCGCGAAGUUUGUAGAACUCUUGAGGUUCGCACCCGAUUUUACCAUAAAUGAGAAGGGUGAAAAUUAUGAGGUUCUUUGAGGGGUUGAAUCUGAAUUAACAGAAGAGAAUUGGGUUGUAUAGCAGUUUUGAAGAUCCUUACCACCCGGCACUAGAACCUGAGCGCAUUGUACACAAAGAUGAGGAAUACAUCGACAAUGCUAAUUUCACUGCUUGCCUGGCAGGAUCCGGAUUGGGCUACUUCUAUAUUUGGUGUGCGGCCAAUUUAUUAAAUAAAUGCUAUCAACUUCGAUGUGAAUUUUCGGGCUUGGAGAAAAUGCCAUGGCGUACCAAAGACAAGAAGAGGUAGAGUUGGGCUAAGAGUGAAGGAAAAAAGAGCAGAGAAGAAAGAGAUACCUAGGAAGAGAGAGAGAGAGUUGGUCUGACAUAGUGAAGACUGAAGUAGAGAAAUGCACAUAUUUGACCUUUUGUUCUCUUAGUAAGGCAAGUAGAGUUUAGUAAGGAUAAGUAGAUUUUUGCUAUCUUGUCCUGUACUAAACUAUUUGGCAUUUAGAGCAUAUCAACGGGAUUACUAAUCGUCUAGUCGUGGCAAAGACUGUUGCGAUACCCGUCUCAUUCUCUUUGACUGCCAAGUUCGCGGGACUUCUCCACGAGUGUAUAGAUACACGUAGAAGUUAAAUUCCUGUAUUCACUUUGAUUGCCAAGUUCCCGGGAUCCCUCCACAAGUGUAUAGAUACACAUAGAAGUUAAAUUCUUGUAAAUCUGUAACAUCAGGUGUUGUAAUUUCAUGGUGCAGGCUUUAGAGUUGAAAUUUUCAAGCGCUUUACAUGGAGUAGGGAUCUUUAUACACGAUGCAGAUGUAUAAGAGCUAAUGGUGGAUUUUUGACAGCCAUCUUUUAGCUUAUGUUUUAAGCGUUUCUAGUUGAAGAGCCAAAUAGAUGAACUAAAUUUGUCAUUAGAGGUCAAGACUCGAGUCAGUCUUGUGGAACCAAAGCAAAAUCUUGAUAAGGAGAUUUUAAAUUUUGGUUUUGAACU
This is an RNA transcript of Beta vulgaris subsp. vulgaris (sugar beet), 3732 nucleotides long. RefSeq lists it as hypothetical. The record is from RefSeq and is a predicted model, not a curated record. The transcript has 10 exons. NCBI's taxonomy places the organism in Eukaryota, Viridiplantae, Streptophyta, Magnoliopsida, Caryophyllales, Amaranthaceae.